Molecule: ribosomal RNA, 800 nt
Filed under: uncultured bacterium
Lineage: Bacteria
Description: bacterial SSU rRNA
Rfam family: Bacterial small subunit ribosomal RNA
Source: RNAcentral
AGAGUUUGAUCCUGGCUCAGAUUGAACGCUGGCGGCAUGCCUUACACAUGCAAGUCGAACGGUAACAGGUCUUCGGAUGCUGACGAGUGGCGAACGGGUGAGUAAUACAUCGGAACGUGCCCAGUAAUGGGGGAUAGCUCGGCGAAAGCCGGAUUAAUACCGCAUACGCCCUGAGGGGGAAAGUGGGGGACCGCAAGGCCUCACGUUAUUGGAGCGGCCGAUGGCUGAUUAGCUAGUUGGUAGGGUAAAGGCCUACCAAGGCGACGAUCAGUAGCUGGUCUGAGAGGACGAUCAGCCACACUGGGACUGAGACACGGCCCAGACUCCUACGGGAGGCAGCAGUGGGGAAUUUUGGACAAUGGGGGAAACCCUGAUCCAGCAAUGCCGCGUGUGCGAAGAAGGCCUUCGGGUUGUAAAGCACUUUUGUCAGGGAAGAAAUCCUUUGGGCUAAUACCCUAGGGGGAUGACGGUACCUGAAGAAUAAGCACCGGCUAACUACGUGCCAGCAGCCGCGGUAAUACGUAGGGUGCAAGCGUUAAUCGGAAUUACUGGGCGUAAAGCGUGCGCAGGCGGUUGUGUAAGACAGGUGUGAAAUCCCCGGGCUUAACCUGGGAAUUGCAUUUGUGACUGCACGACUAGAGUGUGUCAGAGGGGGGGUGGAAUUUCACGUGUAGCAGUGAAAUGCGUAGAUAUGUGGAGGAACACCAAUGGCGAAGGCAGCCCCCUGGGAUAACACUGACGCUCAUGCACGAAAGCGUGGGGAGCAAACAGGAUUAGAUACCCUGUAGUCCACGCCCUAA